UUUUAUGGAGAGUUUGAUCCUGGCUCAGGAUGAACGCUGGCGGCGUGCCUAAUACAUGCAAGUCGAGCGAACGGACGAGAAGCUUGCUUCUCUGAUGUUAGCGGCGGACGGGUGAGUAACACGUGGAUAACCUACCUAUAAGACUGGGAUAACUUCGGGAAACCGGAGCUAAUACCGGAUAAUAUUUUGAACCGCAUGGUUCAAAAGUAAAAGACGGUCUUGCUGUCACUUAUAGAUGGAUCCGCGCUGCAUUAGCUAGUUGGUAAGGUAACGGCUUACCAAGGCAACGAUGCAUAGCCGACCUGAGAGGGUGAUCGGCCACACUGGAACUGAGACACGGUCCAGACUCCUACGGGAGGCAGCAGUAGGGAAUCUUCCGCAAUGGGCGAAAGCCUGACGGAGCAACGCCGCGUGAGUGAUGAAGGUCUUCGGAUCGUAAAACUCUGUUAUUAGGGAAGAACAUAUGUGUAAGUAACUGUGCACAUCUUGACGGUACCUAAUCAGAAAGCCACGGCUAACUACGUGCCAGCAGCCGCGGUAAUACGUAGGUGGCAAGCGUUAUCCGGAAUUAUUGGGCGUAAAGCGCGCGUAGGCGGUUUUUUAAGUCUGAUGUGAAAGCCCACGGCUCAACCGUGGAG
RNAcentral lists this ribosomal RNA (638 nucleotides) under Staphylococcus aureus. Its description in RNAcentral is "bacterial SSU rRNA". It matches the Rfam family "Bacterial small subunit ribosomal RNA", at positions 1 to 620 of the family's 1533-position model. The record is from RNAcentral. Lineage: Bacteria; Bacillati; Bacillota; Bacilli; Caryophanales; Staphylococcaceae.